RNAcentral lists this transfer RNA (84 nucleotides) under Omnitrophica WOR_2 bacterium RIFCSPHIGHO2_02_FULL_45_21. Its description in RNAcentral is "tRNA-Leu". It matches the Rfam family "tRNA". Rfam says of the family: Transfer RNA (tRNA) molecules are approximately 80 nucleotides in length. The record is from RNAcentral. Lineage: Bacteria; Pseudomonadati; Candidatus Omnitrophota. RNAcentral also lists the same sequence under 1 other name.
GCGGAAGUGGCGGAAUGGCAUACGCGCACGUCUCAGAAGCGUGUGGGGUAACCCUUGAGGGUUCAACUCCCUCCUUCCGCACCA